GAAGAAGGCCUUCGGGUUGUAAAGCUCUGCGUUAGGGAAGAACAAGUACCGGAGUCAAUGCCGGUACCUUGACGGUACCUAACCAGAAAGCCACGGCUAACUACGUGCCAGCAGCGCGGUAAUACGUAGGUGGCAAGCGUUGUCCGGAAUUAUUGGGCGUAAAGCGCGCGCAGGCGGUCCUUUAAGUCUGAUGUGAAAGCCCCCGGCUCAACCGUGGAGGGUCAUUGGAAACUGGGGGACUUGAGUGCAGAAGAGGAGAGUGGAAUUCCACGUGUAGCGGUGAAAUGCGUAGAGAUGUGGAGGAACACCAGUGGCGAAGGCGACUCUCUGGUCUGUAACUGACGCUGAGGCGCGAAAGCGUGGGGAGCGAACAGGAUUAGAUACCCUGGUAGUCCACGCCGUAAACGAUGAG
RNAcentral lists this ribosomal RNA (412 nucleotides) under uncultured bacterium. RNAcentral describes it as "bacterial SSU rRNA". It matches the Rfam family "Bacterial small subunit ribosomal RNA", at positions 407 to 813 of the family's 1533-position model. The record is from RNAcentral.